GCCUCUGUGGCUUAGUGGUAGAGCAGCAGACAGCGGAUCUGCCGGCCGUGGGUUCAAUUCCCACCAGAGGCU
This 72-nucleotide transfer RNA is filed under the name Promethearchaeota archaeon. RNAcentral describes it as "Candidatus Lokiarchaeota archaeon (permafrost metagenome) tRNA-Arg". It matches the Rfam family "tRNA". From Rfam's summary of the family: Transfer RNA (tRNA) molecules are approximately 80 nucleotides in length. Their secondary structure includes four short double-helical elements and three loops (D, anti-codon, and T loops). The record is from RNAcentral. Lineage: Archaea; Promethearchaeati; Promethearchaeota.